This 418-nucleotide ribosomal RNA is filed under the name Epyris sp. RNAcentral describes it as "partial large subunit ribosomal RNA". Lineage: Eukaryota; Metazoa; Arthropoda; Insecta; Hymenoptera; Bethylidae. The record is from RNAcentral.
AAAACAUAUCUUUUUGAAUAUAAUUUUAAGUAAACUCUGCCCAAUGAUUAAUUAAAUGGCUGCAGUAUUUUGACUGUACAAAGGUAGCAUAAUAAAUUGUUUUUUAAAUGAAAACUUGAAUGAAAGAGAUGAUGAAAUAUAGACUUUUUUAGAUUAAUUUUUUGAAUUUAUUUUUUGAAUAAAAAAAUUUAAAUAAUUUUAAGGGACGAGAAGACCCUAUAGAAUUUAACAAUAUAAAAUUUAUUAAUAUAAUUAUAUUAUUUUUGUUUUUUUGGGAGGAAAUUUAAAAUUAUUAACUUUAAUGAUUAAUAACAUAUUUAAAUGUUUAUAUAGAUUUUUGAAUUAAAAAUUUUAGAUUAAAUUACCUUAGGGAUAACAGCAUAAUAGUUUUUUAUAGUUCUUAUUGAAAAAAUUGUUU